GGUCAAGCUACAAAGGGCUCACGGCGGAUACCUUGGCACACAGAGGCGAUGAAGGACGUGGUUACCUGCGAUAAGUCUCGGGGAGCUGGAAACACGCUUUGAUCCGGGAAUUUCCGAAUGGGGCAACCCCUAGUACGGCCAGCUGUAUCCAUAGGCUGGCACGAGCCAACCCAGCGAACUGAA
RNAcentral lists this ribosomal RNA (183 nucleotides) under uncultured Synechococcus sp. RNAcentral's name for it is "partial 23S ribosomal RNA". It matches the Rfam family "Bacterial large subunit ribosomal RNA", at positions 1 to 197 of the family's 2925-position model. Lineage: Bacteria; Bacillati; Cyanobacteriota; Cyanophyceae; Synechococcales; Synechococcaceae. The record is from RNAcentral.